AUGUAAAGUGGACUUUAUUUUAUAUGGUCGGUUAUGUGAUGUGUUUGGGUAACCAUAAAAAGCUGAUCUGAUAUUCAGUCGUGUUUUUUGAUAUUUUGUAAUCGAGUACCUUUUUAAAGGUCUAAUGGCUCCCAUCAGGUGUUGUGUGCAGACGGUGGAAAAAUUCAACGAGUAAACAUAUAUUUAAUCCAAAUUAAAUACUCAUAUUUAUAUGUAAAAUGUCACAUUAUUGUAUAAAUAAAUAAUUAAGAAACAAAA
Diabrotica virgifera virgifera (western corn rootworm) is the source of this 258-nucleotide long non-coding RNA. RefSeq lists it as uncharacterized. NCBI's taxonomy places the organism in Eukaryota, Metazoa, Arthropoda, Insecta, Coleoptera, Chrysomelidae. The record is from RefSeq and is a predicted model, not a curated record. The transcript is spliced from 2 exons.